AAACAAACAAUCACUCUUUGCAGUUUAGAAUCAAAUCUCCAGAACAAUUAACUAAACCCAGAAAAAACAUCAAACCAGACGAUGAUGAUUUAAGUUGUCGGAACCAUAUUCAACAACCAAAAACUGAUUAUCAAAGGAAAUAAACUAACCAGAAGGAAAGAGUCACAACGAAAUGAGAAAGUCACUCUCGUGAAGACAGAAAACAGAGACGAAGAUAAAUUUUCAUUUUCUUUCUGUGUUUUAGCACGCAAACUUCCGCUAAACGGCCCUGUUUUGGACCCAUGGCUUUCAGACGAGAGCCGUUCGAUUAGAUAUUAAGUACACGUGGCGUUAAACAAGAGAUCGAGUGGGAACUCUAUUUUCUCUUUCUUUUCUUUUUAUUACUGAUAAUAUCUUUUAUCGACAUUAUUUGGAGGGAAAUCUGGCUCUUCGCUAUACGCAUGGAAUGAUUUUAUAUUAGACUGUUUGAAAAAAAAUGGUUGAGCUUAUGAUUUUUUUAAUUAGUGUAUUAUUUAUGUUAUAUGAAGGUUUAUUGGACUUAAGUCCAAUAAAUAAUACCCUAAUUGAUUAUAAUACAUAAAUAAUACACAUUUGAA
Molecule: long non-coding RNA, 596 nt
Organism: Raphanus sativus (radish)
Lineage: Eukaryota; Viridiplantae; Streptophyta; Magnoliopsida; Brassicales; Brassicaceae
Exons: 2
Source: RefSeq, a predicted model, not a curated record